GUAUCUCGUCUGAUCUGAGGUCUUGAUUGGUCUCGGGAAUUUGAUGAAAAACACCAAACACUCGAUCCUUCCAGUCGAUCUCGUAGAGAGGGCUUUGUCUCUUUCGAAGCACCGUCUUCCAGGUGAGAUAUUACUACCACACCGAGAGGGACGGGCCACGAAAGGGCUUCCGCACAACUCGGGAUCGCUCUACUUCAAGGGACCGUUCGCUUUGCAGCAAAGGGACACCUCAUUGCCCGAACACCUUACGGUGACGGAUGUGAGAAACGACGCUCAGACAGGCGUGCUCCUGGGAAUACCCAAGGGCGCCAUUUGCGUUCAAAGAUUCGAUGAUUCACAAAAUUCUGCAAUUCACAUUACUUAUCGCAGUUUGCUGCGUUCUUCAUCGAUGCACGAGCCAAGAGAUCCACCGUUAAAAGUUGUUCGCUUUUAGGCAACUCUCGUUCAAGAAGAAUCUUGUCCGAGGAUUUGAUACGUUAAGGCAUUGAGAGGGGUUUGCGUGGGAAAAAAACUAAUUCGGGGCACGCCAAGAUAAACCGAAGUUUACCCUUCCCACAGGCGAUUUAACGACACUAGGCCGACCCCGAAGAACAGCAUCAAGUAUACCGCUAAGGCAGGUAAGAUUGGAUUCGUUAAUGAUCCUUCCGCAGGUUCACCUACGGAAACCUUGUUACGACUUUUACUUCCUCUAAAUGAUCAAGUUUGAACAAGUUCUCGGCGGCACCAUUCCUUGCGGCACGGCAUCGCCAAUCCCGAGAUCUCACUAAACCAUUCAAUCGGUAGUAGCGACGGGG
This 794-nucleotide unclassified non-coding RNA is filed under the name Ctenophora sp. (in: diatoms). Its description in RNAcentral is "Ctenophora sp. (in: Bacillariophyta) sequence contains 18S rRNA gene, ITS1, 5.8S rRNA gene". The record is from RNAcentral. Lineage: Eukaryota; Bacillariophyta; Fragilariophyceae; Fragilariales; Fragilariaceae.